This is a long non-coding RNA of Myotis myotis, 2150 nucleotides long. RefSeq lists it as uncharacterized. The record is from RefSeq and is a predicted model, not a curated record. The transcript is spliced from 3 exons. Lineage: Eukaryota; Metazoa; Chordata; Mammalia; Chiroptera; Vespertilionidae.
UGUGACCCCGGCGCGUACACGACGCGUGGGACGAGGAGGGCCGCAGGGGUACUGCCAGGAAGUGUCGCGAGAGGUGGAGGGAAUCGCGCGAGAUGUGGCUCCUCCCUGCGGGCAGAGAGCCGGAGCGCGGGGCCGCUGGGCGUGCGGGUCGUAAGUGCGCUGUGCCCUCCGCCCUGAGCCCGCGGGCGGUGUGAGGCCGGAGUUUUGAAGUAUAUGAAGACAAUCCAGCCUCACUCAACUAUGUAGUUGGAGAAGGAAAGAGUAAUUUUCAUAGCCUUUUCAGUGACAAGCUCACUUUGUUUUUGUGGGGAUUCAGAAGAGCCAUCCCAUGAUGUGCGUUAAGUGGUAUGUGGAUUAUUUUUGAGCUAAAGGCAAAGGAGAUCUUGUGGGCUCAAGAGAAACUUCUUCCCCCACACCCUUCACUAUCUGGAGGACUUUGAAUGAGAAGCCUUGCCCAUAAUAAGAGAUUAUCAGGGAUAACCUUUUUGGACCUACUUAUAUGGUAGGACAAACUACUAAUUACUGAACAUGUGCUCUCCCUGCAAUGACCUUCUGAAGCCCCAAGGUGCCUUCCCUGAUUUCUACCUCAAAUGUUUUAUAUAUCCAUUUUCCCUUUCUGUUUAAACCUCUCAUGUAUGUGGGGUUCCUAUGCACAUGAAAGUAAAUUUUAUUUUCUCUUGUCAAUUUCUUCUUGUUGAUUUGAUUAUUCAGCCAGCCAAAAGAACCAGAGGAAGGAAAGGGGAAUUUUUCCCUUCCCAUAUUUUCAAGAAAAGUUCUGCCAAAUACCUAACAAUUGCAAUAGCAAGUCAAAUAAAAAUGUUCCAUGAAAAAAAGAGUAGCUGGUUCAGUUACCAAUUCAAAUAGUCAAGUGCCUUUUCCUCAAGAGACCAGCAUACUUCAGAAGGUGGAAAUGUUUUAUGCAUAUUAUUUUGUCAUAUAGAAUAUGAAAAAGUAUGAACUUAGGGUUAAUAAAAUUGGUUUUUGCUGCUUGAUGAAGAGUAUUCUUAAGUGAAACUGGUACUGUUUUUUAUUAUGAAUGCACAGCAGUGGACAAUGACUGAUUGUACAGUUUGUUUCCACUGCCUUAAUUCCUGCCUAAGGCGCCAGCAGUUUUACCCACCAGUACUUUUGUAUCAACAGAGCGGGGGGAAAGGCAAAUCAUGUCUUAGAUAUUAAGGAAUAGUUUGUGAUCCCUGAAAAGGUUUCUACAACCUCACCCCCAGAGUCCAUGGACCACCCUUUGAGAACUAUAGCAAUUAAAUAUGCCCACCCUAGGGUUUGGGAUAUAAAAGUAUUGAAUAAUACAAUACGUACUCUGAAGGAGUUUACAGGAGAGACAAACAGGUAAGCAAAGAAAUAUAUCUUGUUGAAUGCUAUAACAAGCAGGGAUCAAUUACUCUUUGAUUACAAAAGAAUAAUCAAAGACCACCCUUACCUCUAGAAAUUUUCUUUCAGUGAGUCUUUGGUGGGAUUCAGGAGUCUGCAUUUUAAAACAAGCACUACAGAUGGUUUAGAUUCAGGUAGUGUGAGAUCCACACUUUGAGAAAAACUGCCUUAACCAGUAUAAAUUUCAGGUUCCCAAGAAGGCCCAGUAGGUAGUAUCAGAGAUAAUGUCUUAUGGUAUAUCUCUCAAAAAACACUGCUUAGUUUCACUGGCUAUUGUUUGCAGCUAAAUAACAAAUCUACCAGCAAAACCCUGGCCAGUGUGGUUUGGUUGGCUAAUGGCUCCGUGCACUGAAGGGUGGUGGGUUUGAUUCCUGGUCAGGGCACAAGCAGGAGGCAACCAAUCGAUGUCUGCCUCUCUCUAAAUCAGUUAUUUAAAAAACAAGUCUGCCAACAAAGACUUAAAAGGUAAAAUCUGAAAUAAGCUCUACUUUUUCCCUUUCAAUUCUCUAGUGCAGGGGGCCAGAUAAAUAUUUUAGGCUCCUGUGGGUCAUAAGGUUUCUGUCGUAGCUAAUCAGUUCCCCUGUUGUGGCCAAAAGCAGCCAGAGACAAUGAGUAUGUUUUUUGAGAGAUGCCAUAAGACAUUAUCCCACUAAAACUUUACUUACAGCCUUAACCGGUUUGGCUCAGUGGAUAGAGCGUUGGCCUGCGGACUGAAGGGUCCCAGGUUCAAUUCCGGUCAAGGGCAUGUACCUUGGUUGCGGGCA